GGCGAGCCUGUCCUGCUCUGGCCUGCCCUGUGCUCAGGAAGCUGGCGGUCCCCCUCAGUGGAUCUUCACCCACAGGGACAACCUGCUGCAGACCGGGUAGGAGGGAGGCAGGGGCCUCUUCCCCUCUCCUUCCUGGCCUGGCCCCACACCCACCAGUGUUGGUUUCACUCUGUGGCUACGAUUCUUCCUGGGUGCCCUUUCCAUUGCACAACUCCUCUAGGCUCUACGAACAGAACUUCUCCCCGCCCCCAAGCCUCUUAGGGUGAGACAUGUUGUCGGUCUGCCAUUGUUGCUGGUCCCUAAAUAGCAGCACCCUUUGAAGGAUCCUUGAACCAUGACCACACCGCAACAAAGAGUCCUUCAUCAAACUCGCUUCCAAAUCCCCUCCCAAGAACACCUUCAGUUUCCUGCAAGAACCCUGACUGCUGAAGCCGGAUUUUGACUAAGCUUCUACCUUGUAAACCGUGACUGUGGGAUUGGGGUCGAGGCGCAAUCAGAGGUUGUAUAAGGCACUAGAUCAAGGCUGCCUGUCUGUCAGGAGUGUCUGCUUUAUUCAGUAGUAAAUGUGAAUUGUUUUUCAUUCUGUUGUGAAUACUGUU
RNAcentral lists this long non-coding RNA (599 nucleotides) under Homo sapiens (human). RNAcentral's name for it is "non-protein coding lnc-TUBGCP3-1:2". Lineage: Eukaryota; Metazoa; Chordata; Mammalia; Primates; Hominidae. The record is from RNAcentral.